Molecule: ribosomal RNA, 497 nt
Filed under: uncultured bacterium
Lineage: Bacteria
Description: partial 16S ribosomal RNA
Rfam family: Bacterial small subunit ribosomal RNA
Source: RNAcentral
GAUGAACGCUGGCGGCGUGCCUAAUACAUGCAAGUCGAGCGAACGGACGAGAAGCUUGCUUCUCUGAUGUUAGCGGCGGACGGGUGAGUAACACGUGGAUAACCUACCUAUAAGACUGGGAUAACUUCGGGAAACCGUAUCUAAUACCGGAUAAUAUUUUGAACCGCAUGGUUCAAAAGUGAAAUACGGUCUUGCUGUCACUUAUAGAUGGAUCCGCGCUGCAUUAGCUAGUUGGUAAGGUAACGGCUUACCAAGGCAACGAUGCAUAGCCGACCUGAGAGGGGGAUAGACCACACUGGAACGGGGACACGGUCCAGACUCCUACGGGAGGCAGCAGUAGGGAAUCUUCCGCAAUGGGCGAAAGCCUGACGGAGCAACGCCGCGUGAGUGAUGACGGUCUUCGGAUCGUAAAACUCUGUUAUUAGGGAAGAACAUAUGUGUAAGGAACUGUGCACAUCUUGACGGUACCUAAUAAGAAAGCCACGGCUAACUACGUG